This 353-nucleotide ribosomal RNA is filed under the name uncultured bacterium. RNAcentral's name for it is "bacterial SSU rRNA". It matches the Rfam family "Bacterial small subunit ribosomal RNA", at positions 917 to 1271 of the family's 1533-position model. The record is from RNAcentral.
GGGCCCGCACAAGCGGAGGAGCAUGUGGUUUAAUUCGAUGAUACGCGAGGAACCUUACCUGGGCUUAAAUGUCAUGCGACCAUUUCUGAAAAGAGAUUUCUCUUCGGAGCGAAUGGCAAGGUGCUGCAUGGCUGUCGUCAGCUCGUGCCGUGAGGUGUUGGUUAAGUCCCGCAACGAGCGCAACCCCUAUCUUUAGUUGCCAUCAGGUUAUGCUGGGGACUCUAGAGAAACUGCCUACGUAAGUAGUGAGGAAGGCGGGGACGACGUCAAGUCAUCAUGGCCCUUACGCCCAGGGCUACACACGUGCUACAAUGGUAAGUACAAUGAGAACCGAGACCGCAAGGUGGAGGAAA